This is a long non-coding RNA of Amphiprion ocellaris (clown anemonefish), 3092 nucleotides long. The record is from Ensembl. Lineage: Eukaryota; Metazoa; Chordata; Actinopteri; Pomacentridae.
ACGCACACAGACGCACACACACACACACAGACGCACACACACACACGCACACACACACACACAGACACACACACACACACACACACACAGACGCACACACACAGACACACACACACACACACACACACAGACGCACACACACAGACACACACAGACGCACACACACACACACACACACACACACAGACACACACACACACACACACACACACAGACGCACACACACAGACACACACAGACGCACACACACACACACAGACGCACACACACACACACACACACACACACACACACAGACGCACACACACACACACACACACACACAGCUGAUGGAUGUUUGCGAUGGCGUCGGACUCUCGGUGGUUCUGGUUCGUCCGUCAGCAGGUUGGGGGCGUCGCCAGCGUUGCUUAGUGACCAAAUGAUGUGCAGCUAUUUUUUAACCUAUUUAGAGAAGUGGCAUGUUUGUUCUUAACUAAAUGAAAAGUGUAGAAAUCAUCUUUCAGGACAUGUAUGUUGGACAGAAAAUGACGGAUGGAGGCGACUCUUGCUGGACUCUUCGGAGGUUUUUGAACCAAAAGACGACAGAAGGAAUGAUGGGACAUUUUACUGAUCUUCUCCACUUCAGUGUUUGUACCAACGUUGAGUAUUAGCAUCCACCAGCAACAGGUUGAACAUUAAUCUGCACCGCAACACGUGAAUAUUUAACACCUUUAGCUGCUUAAACCCACACAGCCGUCGAUAUACGUCUGAACCGGAUUUAUUGAUGACCAAGUACAGAUAAAUCACAGCUGAUCAAUACAUGCAGCUCACUGUAGCGGCUGUAGAGAAACUUCAAUUUAUGGGAUUCACAUUCAUUUUCAGUAACUUUUCAUCGCAAUUAGUUACUUUGAGUGAUUCAGAUUCAGUUUGCAGUGACAGAUGUGUGUCUCAGGAAAUUCAUUUGAGCAACAAGCCUGAAUCUGAAUUAACCCGUUUUAGAGAAACUGGACUCACUUUCACUCUAAUGGAAUCUUACAUUAUGUUAACCAAAUUCAAUCACUGCAUUUGAGAAUUUCACAUUCAGACAGAAAUUAUUCAAAUAAUUUUUUUAUAUUUCUGCCAGUCGAGGUUCUUGAACUUGAGUAAGUUUGUACUUCCAUCAUGUUUCCUUCCAAUCUGACCUGAUGUUUUUUUAUUGUCGCUGUUUAAUUUACAGAACUGACCUUUAAAUCUGAGUUCAGUGGCUCAGACCUGUGUGAGGUUUAACUGAGAACCGAUUCACUCUCACUGCAUUGAUUUAAAGAAAUGGAAACCCACCGCCACCACGUCCACCGCCAUGCCGGCCGCUUCACGUGUCUGUGGAACAACUAAAGACUAAAAACUAAAAGAUGUCAACGCUGGCUGGAGGGUUGUCAGAGUGAAAGAGCAUCGGUCACUUUACGUUGAGAUGAUUUCCUGUUUUCUUUCUUUUCGUUUGAGGAAUGAUUCUGACGCCGCUUCCUAAUACUGAGAGCUUUGUUCUGAUUGGUUGAUGUGGUUAGAAACAGGAAGCGAGUUGCUGUGACUGACGCCAUGAUGACACAAAGAUUGUUUUUUCUUUUUGUACAUUUUGAGGUGUUUUUUUCUGUUUUUGUUGAGCUGUUUUGACUCGCAGGGCGGCUUCAACCAGUCUGAUCAUCUUUAACUGCUGACGUCAAGGUGAUGAUGUCACAUUUUUACUCAAUCUUUAUUUAAACGACGCCGGCAGUUACAGGUUCAAACCAAGUCUUUGCUCGUGUUUAUGAAACUAAACUUGAAGGAAAACUAUAUAAACCAUGUGCUUAAAUCUACCCUUCACAUUUGUACUUUCUCUCUUUUAAAACAAUCCCUCAGUGCUUCAUUGUUCUACACAUAAAAGUUAAUUUUAUUCAAAUCUUCAGCAGAAAGAAACACGAUACGAGCAACAGUUUUUGUUUUGACUGGUCAGGAUGGUGUUACAGACCUUAAAUAUAAUGAUGCUGUUCGUGAAAUUUUACUUCCAGAAACAGCUGCUGUUCUUUUCACUAGUCCACACUGAGUUGUGGGUAUUUCUAACUGGUCAGAAAAACUUCACUGAUAUCUGGAAUAAAAACUCUCCUCACCAAUCAGAGCGACAUCGUUGAUCAUUUUAUUUAUAACUGGCCAUACUGAUUGUAAAUUAAAAUGCCAAAUUUAUUCUUGUUGUUGGUUUGCAGUCUGAUUGAUCCCAAAUAAAAAUCCUGUCAAGCGCUUAAAUACAAAAAAUGGCCUCUAUUUUUAAUUUUAAUGCUUCAGUGAAUGUAUUACCCUGUCAGAUCAGUUCAGAGAGGUAAAAAAAGUUUAAUUAUUUAACCCUCCUGUUGUCCUCAUUUAUGGACACCAAAAAAUAUUGUUUCCUUGCCUGAAAAAAAUCCCAAAAUUUAGCAAAAAAUUCCCCAAAUUUCUGAAAAUUUGCAAAACCUUCAGGAAGAAUAUUCCAACAAUUCCUGAAAAGUUUCCCUUAAAAGUUUUAUUAAAAAAAAAAAAAAAAAAAAAAGAAGUCCCCCAAAUUUGGCAAGAAAAUUCUUGUAAAUAUUUAAAAAAAAAAAAAAAAAAGUAAAAAAUCUUCCAAAAAAACCCUAAAAAUAUCUAAAGUGAUUCCAUAUAUAUCAGUAAAACUUAUAUUUUCUUUAAGAACAUUCACAAAAAAAAUCAACCAAAAUCCAGCGAAAUGUAGGAUUAAAGUUUUCUCUUUACAUUUUAAUUUACACUUUUUACUUUUUGUAGUUUGAUAAGUACGAGCCGAAAGGUCAGAGGUCAGACAGAGGUCAGACAGAGGUCAGAGGUCAGACAGAGGUCAGACAGAGGUCAGACAGAGGUCAGAGGUCGUAGGUGGUCCUGGUUGACGUCUGCGGUUUGAAGCCGUCCUGCUGCUCUAUUUGCUGAACACUGAAUGAUUAAUAUUCUAGUUGCUGUUGUCAUUUUCACAUGUUGCUGCUGUAACAGACGAAUGGUGACAUGAUGAUUAACCAGGAGUUACAAUAAAGAACAUUUCUAUCGGCUUCAGGAGACUCUGUGGUCGUCAUUAGUUCCAGUCGACUCAAGGAAACUUGCAAAACAAGUCUGAUGUACCAUUU